RNAcentral lists this non-coding RNA (85 nucleotides) under Aliterella atlantica CENA595. RNAcentral's name for it is "Glutamine riboswitch aptamer (glnA leader)". It matches the Rfam family "Glutamine riboswitch aptamer (glnA leader)". The record is from Rfam by way of RNAcentral. RNAcentral also lists the same sequence under 1 other name. Lineage: Bacteria; Bacillati; Cyanobacteriota; Cyanophyceae; Chroococcidiopsidales; Aliterellaceae.
AACGUUCAUCUCUUUGAGAUUUUAGUUGUUCUUUAAAUGAGCAGAUAGAGAGACGGAAGUAGGGUGUCAACCGAAGGAACGUGCC